This 745-nucleotide ribosomal RNA is filed under the name uncultured cyanobacterium. RNAcentral describes it as "bacterial SSU rRNA". It matches the Rfam family "Bacterial small subunit ribosomal RNA", at positions 1 to 796 of the family's 1533-position model. Lineage: Bacteria; Bacillati; Cyanobacteriota. The record is from RNAcentral.
GCUUAGAGUUUGAUCCUGGCUCAGGAUGAACGCUGGCGGCGUGCUUAACACAUGCAAGUCGAACGGUCUCUUCGGAGAUAGUGGCGGACGGGUGAGUAACGCGUGAGAAUCUGCCUUUAGGUUCGGGACAACAGUUGGAAACGACUGCUAAUACCGAAUGUGUCGCAAGAUGAAAGAUUUAUUGCCUAAAGAUGAGCUCGCGUCUGAUUAGCUAGUUGGUGGGGUAAAAGCGUACCAAGGCGACGAUCAGUAGCUGGUCUGAGAGGAUGAUCAGCCACACUGGGACUGAGACACGGCCCAGACUCCUACGGGAGGCAGCAGUGGGGAAUUUUCCGCAAUGGGCGAAAGCCUGACGGAGCAACGCCGCGUGAGGGAGGAAGGCUUUUGGGUUGUAAACCUCUUUUAUCAAGGAAGAUAAUGACGGUACUUGAUGAAUCAGCAUCGGCUAACUCCGUGCCAGCAGCCGCGGUAAUACGGAGGAUGCAAGCGUUAUCCGGAAUAAUUGGGCGUAAAGCGUUCGUAGGUGGUUUUGCAAGUCUGCUGUUAAAGCGUGUAGCUUAACUACAUAAUGGCGGUGGAAACUGCAAAACUAGAGUGCGUUCGGGGCAGAGGGAAUUCCUGGUGUAGCGGUGAAAUGCGUAGAUAUCAGGAAGAACACCGGUGGCGAAGGCGCUCUGCUAGGCCGCAACUGACACUGAGGGACGAAAGCUAGGGGAGCGAAUGGGAUUAGAUACCCCAGUAGUNC